UAAGAAUGGUUCAUAUUUUGUAAUUUUUUUAAUUUUUUUCUUUUUGUUUUUAAAUUGUAUGUGUACUGAAAUUAGAGUUUCGUGGAUUGUAGUGCAGUAUCGCCGGAGAAAGCGAAAAUAGAUUUGGAGUCAAUAAGAGGAAAGAAGUGGUAGAUUUGGAGAGAUCUGUAGAGAAUCAACGUGGCUGUGAUGAAAAAGGAGCUCGACGUUGAUAAUGACGACAAAGGUAAUGUGGAGAUGGGGAUUCGUCUUUCCGAUGUCGGUAGUGCGAUCAAGAUGCGUAUAGAAUAAUAAUUCUAUUGCUGCUUCUUUCAUUACUAUGUUUUAUAAUUUAUUUACUAAAGUUAUAAAUUUUGUUACAUUUGUACGUAUAUCUGUUUCAUCUCUUUUAUAUAUUUGUAUAUAUGUUAAUAUAUAUUAUCUUUAUUUAUUAAUGUCUUAUGUCAAUUCAAAAAAUUUAAAAUUUUUAUUUUGUGAAUCUUCUGUCUUUUAUAGCAUCAGCCCACCGCAAUGCGCGGGUAACUUCACUAGUUAACAAUAUAUCAUAAUUCUAUGUAUGAAAAUCAUGCUUUUUGUAAGCCUAUUUAUCGCCUCGUUGGCACUAAUCAUUAAUCCCAAAAGCUCAAAUUGUUAGAAAUAUAUAGUCAAUUUACUUAAAGCGUACAGAUAUAGCGCCAAUGGUCUCAAUUGUGAGCCUCACGUCAAUCCAAUCCAACUUCCUACCAUUUCAAAUUAAUAUGAUUCGACCUGACCUGACUUCCAGUCACGUAGCAGAAUGUUAUUCCUUU
Molecule: long non-coding RNA, 788 nt
Filed under: Ananas comosus (pineapple)
Lineage: Eukaryota; Viridiplantae; Streptophyta; Magnoliopsida; Poales; Bromeliaceae
Description: long non-coding RNA (ACOM_LNC030700)
Source: RNAcentral